RNAcentral lists this long non-coding RNA (568 nucleotides) under Marmota monax (woodchuck). Lineage: Eukaryota; Metazoa; Chordata; Mammalia; Rodentia; Sciuridae. The record is from RNAcentral.
GAAAGAAAAGAGAAAAAGAAAAGUGAUAAAUGAGGCUACAAGACAGAAAUCAAAAUAUCAAAUUUGUUGUUGAUCAAACUGGUUGACAGUUGCAGACAAAAGGGCUUAUGUGACAGUCUCUUCAUUUGCUCCUUCUUCAGAACCCCUGGAAAGUGAUGAUCCACCCAAGCAAAUGUUUGCAUCUUUGGAGUACACAUACAUUGCAGGGCCAGCCCUACUGCCCCUGGUCUGGAGCUGGUAAGGAAGAAAACAGGGAUCCCCCUGCUUCUUCUUUACCCUUUGGAGUGAUAUGGACCAGUGCACAUCAGAACAUUGUCACUCAUAAGUAGAUAAGUUAGCAUUCAUUCCUUCUUUGAGGGAGGCACAAGAGGAGGCAAUUUUUGAAACAGAAAGAGCCCAGUUGUGUUAUCUAGGGAAAAUCCCUCCAUCUAGAUACACAAAACUAGUGGAAUGAGGCUGAGCCCCCAACACACACACACACACAUACUCAUAAAUGUCUUUAGGCUUUAUUGAAGGACAAGCAAAUACAAAUAUUUUUACAAUGAUUUUGCUAUGGAUGACUGUGAUU